This 67-nucleotide transfer RNA is filed under the name Macroagelaius imthurni (golden-tufted mountain grackle). RNAcentral describes it as "tRNA-Cys". Lineage: Eukaryota; Metazoa; Chordata; Aves; Passeriformes; Icteridae. The record is from RNAcentral.
GGCUCUGUAGUGAAAUUCAUAGUGAGUUGCAAGCUCAUUGAUGUGCGUCAAUCAUGCACCGGGGUCU